Non-coding RNA from Paramuricea clavata, 107 nucleotides. The record is from the annotation of a GenBank genome assembly. NCBI's taxonomy places the organism in Eukaryota, Metazoa, Cnidaria, Anthozoa, Malacalcyonacea, Plexauridae.
UUCAAGACUUUGUUAUAACAUAUAUGACAUUUGGCUGACAUAUGACAAUAUUAUUAAUAUUGUCAUAUGUCAGCCAAAUGUCAUAUAUGUUAUAACAAAGUCUUGAA